AUCGAACUCCAUCGCCUUCUUCAACCCCUUGCAUCCAGACUUCUCGCACUUGCGAGAUCUGGGCCCGCAGCAGAACUCAACAAAAAGGAUAGAAAGGAGGAACAGCGCCAAAAAGCCGCAAAUGUAGGGUACGGGAGGGAUAUGGACGGAAAGAUGGGGGGAAGAGUGAGAGAGAAUAAUGGAAAGGGAGCGAAAGAUAUAGGAAAAGUAAGAAGUUAAGAGGAAA
This 226-nucleotide unclassified non-coding RNA is filed under the name Hevea brasiliensis (rubber tree). Lineage: Eukaryota; Viridiplantae; Streptophyta; Magnoliopsida; Malpighiales; Euphorbiaceae. The record is from RNAcentral.